Molecule: ribosomal RNA, 724 nt
Filed under: uncultured bacterium
Lineage: Bacteria
Description: bacterial SSU rRNA
Rfam family: Bacterial small subunit ribosomal RNA
Source: RNAcentral
ACACAUGCAGUCGAGCGGAUGAAGGAGCUUGCUCCUGGAUUCAGCGGCGGACGGGUGAGUAAUGCCUAGGAAUCUGCCUGGUAGUGGGGGACAACGUUUCGAAAGGAACGCUAAUACCGCAUACGUCCUACGGGAGAAAGCAGGGGACCUUCGGGCCUUGCGCUAUCAGAUGAGCCUAGGUCGGAUUAGCUAGUUGGUGAGGUAAUGGCUCACCAAGGCGACGAUCCGUAACUGGUCUGAGAGGAUGAUCAGUCACACUGGAACUGAGACACGGUCCAGACUCCUACGGGAGGCAGCAGUGGGGAAUAUUGGACAAUGGGCGAAAGCCUGAUCCAGCCAUGCCGCGUGUGUGAAGAAGGUCUUCGGAUUGUAAAGCACUUUAAGUUGGGAGGAAGGGUUGUAGAUUAAUACUCUGCAAUUUUGACGUUACCGACAGAAUAAGCACCGGCUAACUCUGUGCCAGCAGCCGCGGUAAUACAGAGGGUGCAAGCGUUAAUCGGAAUUACUGGGCGUAAAGCGCGCGUAGGUGGUUUGUUAAGUUGGAUGUGAAAUCCCCGGGCUCAACCUGGGAACUGCAUCCAAAACUGGCAAGCUAGAGUAUGGUAGAGGGUGGUGGAAUUUCCUGUGUAGCGGUGAAAUGCGUAGAUAUAGGAAGGAACACCAGUGGCGAAAGCGACCACCUGGACUGAUACUGACACUGAGGUGCGAAAGCGUGGGGAGCAAA